RNAcentral lists this ribosomal RNA (497 nucleotides) under uncultured Glomeromycotina. RNAcentral describes it as "partial small subunit ribosomal RNA". It matches the Rfam family "Eukaryotic small subunit ribosomal RNA", at positions 591 to 1092 of the family's 1831-position model. The record is from RNAcentral. Lineage: Eukaryota; Fungi; Glomeromycota.
CCAAUAGCGUAUAUUAAAGUUGUUGCAGUUAAAAAGCUCGUAGUUGAAUUUCGGGGUUAGUAGGUUGGUCAUGCCUCUGGUAUGUACUGGUCUCACUGAUUCCUCCUUCCUGAUGAGCCGUAAUGCCAUUAAUUUGGUGUUGCGGGGAAUUUGGACUGUUACUUUGAAAAAAUUAGAGUGUUUAAAGCAAGCUAACGCUUGAAUACAUUAGCAUGGAAUAAUGAAAUAGGACGUUCGAUCCUAUUUUGUUGGUUUCUAGGAUUGACGUAAUGAUUAAUAGGGAUAGUUGGGGGCAUUAGUAUUCAGUUGUCAGAGGUGAAAUUCUUGGAUUUAUUGAAGACUAACUACUGCGAAAGCAUUUGCCAAGGAUGUUUUCAUUAAUCAAGAACGAAAGUUAGGGGAUCGAAGACGAUCAGAUACCGUCGUAGUCUUAACCAUAAACUAUGCCGACUAGGGAUCGGAUGAUGUUAAAUUAAUGACUCAUUCGGCACCUUACG